Molecule: small RNA, 28 nt
Filed under: Arabidopsis thaliana (thale cress)
Lineage: Eukaryota; Viridiplantae; Streptophyta; Magnoliopsida; Brassicales; Brassicaceae
Description: ATSL250770
Source: RNAcentral
AGAGAGAAGAGGAAGAAGAAGAAGAAAA